RNAcentral lists this transfer RNA (66 nucleotides) under Mansonia uniformis. RNAcentral describes it as "tRNA-Ala". Lineage: Eukaryota; Metazoa; Arthropoda; Insecta; Diptera; Culicidae. The record is from RNAcentral.
GGGAUUAUAGUUAAUUAUAACAUUUAAUUUGCACUUAAAAAGUAUUGAAAUUUUCAAUUUUUCUCA